UAAAGGCUUGGUCUUGGCCUUAUUAUCGGUUUUAGGUGGAACUAUACAUGCAAGUAUCCGCAAACCGGUGAAAAUGCCCCCCAAAACUCAUCCUGAGAAAAAAGGAGCAGGCAUCAGGCUUUAAAGCCCACGACGCCUUGCUUAGCCACACCCCUAAGGGUAUACAGCAGUAAUAAACAUUAAGCUAUAAGUGCAAACUUGACUUAGUCACACCUAAAAGGGCCGGCAAAAUUCGUGCCAGCCGCCGCGGUUAUACGCAAGGCCCAAAUUGAUAAAAACGGCGUAAAGGGUGGUUAAGCAAAUAAUAAGAUAAGGUAGAACAACCAUUGAGCUGUUUAAAGCUAUGUGGUAAAGAACCCCAUAAACGAAAGUUGCCUUAAAAUGUUGAAUCCACGAAAGCUAGGAAACAAACUGGGAUUAGAUACCCCACUAUGCCUAGCCGUAAACCCUGGUAGACUAUAACAAUCUGCCCGCCCGAGUACUACGAGUAAGUAACUUGAAACUCAAAAGACCUGGCGGUACUUUAUAAUUUCUAGAGGAGCCUGUUCUAUAACCGAUAAUCCCCGUCUAACCUCACCCUCUCUUGCCUUCUCCGCCUAUAUACCGCCGUCGUCAGCCUACCCUGUGAAGGGUAACUAGUAGGCACCACCAGCGAUACCUCCAAACGUCAGGUCGACGUGUAGCGUAUGAGAGGGGAAGAAAUGGGCUACAUUUCCUAAUUUAGUAAACACGGAAGAAGUAGUGAAACCUACUUCCGAAGGUGGAUUUAGUAGUAAGAGGGGAAUAGAGUGCCCCCCUGAAAAUUUAAUAAAGUGCGUACACACCGCCCGUCACCCUCCCCGCCCAAUUAAAUUUAACAGAUCCCUAAAACAUCUUUAUUACCUCAGGGGAGGUAAGUCGUAACAUGGUAAGAGUACCGGAAGGUGCUCUUGGAAAAUC
RNAcentral lists this non-coding RNA (939 nucleotides) under Callionymus maculatus (spotted dragonet). Its description in RNAcentral is "12S ribosomal RNA". It matches the Rfam family "Bacterial small subunit ribosomal RNA". The record is from RNAcentral. Lineage: Eukaryota; Metazoa; Chordata; Actinopteri; Syngnathiformes; Callionymidae.